Molecule: ribosomal RNA, 259 nt
Filed under: uncultured bacterium
Lineage: Bacteria
Description: partial 16S ribosomal RNA
Rfam family: Bacterial small subunit ribosomal RNA
Source: RNAcentral
UACAGAGGUCUCAAGCGUUGUUCGGAUUCAUUGGGCGUAAAGGGUGCGUAGGUGGCGUGGUAAGUCGGGUGUGAAAUUUCGGAGCUUAACUCCGAAACUGCAUUCGAUACUGCUGUGCUUGAGGACUGGAGAGGAGACUGGAAUUUACGGUGUAGCAGUGAAAUGCGUAGAGAUCGUAAGGGAGACCAGUGGCGAGGGCGGGUCUCUGGACAGUUCCUGACCCUGACGCUGAGGCGCGAAGGCCAGGGGAGCGAACGGG